Molecule: ribosomal RNA, 253 nt
Filed under: uncultured bacterium
Lineage: Bacteria
Description: partial 16S ribosomal RNA
Rfam family: Bacterial small subunit ribosomal RNA
Source: RNAcentral
UACGAAGGGGGCUAGCGUUGUUCGGAUUUACUGGGCGUAAAGCGCGUGUAGGCGGGCUUGUAAGUUGGGGGUGAAAUCCCGAGGCUCAACCUCGGAACUGCCUCCAAAACUGCAAGCCUGGAGCAAGAUAGAGGCAAGUGGAAUUGCGAGUGUAGAGGUGAAAUUCGUAGAUAUUCGCAGGAACACCAGUGGCGAAGGCGACUUGCUGGAUCUUUGCUGACGCUGAGACGCGAAAGCGUGGGGAGCAAACAGG